CCUACGGGCGGCUGCAGUGAGGAAUAUUUGUCAAUGGGCGGGAGCCUGAACCAGCCAAGUCGCGUGAGGGAAGACGGUCCUACGGAUUGUAAACCUCUUUUGCCGGGGAGCAACGGGGUCCUUGCGAGGGCCCGAUGAGAGUACCCGGAGAAAAAGCAUCGGCUAACUCCGUGCAAGCAGCCGCGGUAAUACGGGGGAUGAGAGCGUUAUCCGGAUUUAUUGGGGUUAGAGGGUUCGUAGGCGGGCUGGUAAGUCAGCGGUCAAAUGUCGGGGCUCAACCCCGGACUGCCGUUGAAACUGGCGGCCUAGAGUAGGCGAGAAGGAUGCGGAAUGCGUGGUGUAGCGGUGAAAUGCAUAGAUAUCACGCAGAACUCUGAUUGCGAAGGCAGCAUACCGGCGCCCGACUGACGCUGAGGCACGAAAGCGAGGGUAGCGAACAGGAUUAGAUACCCCAGUAGUC
This 460-nucleotide ribosomal RNA is filed under the name uncultured bacterium. RNAcentral describes it as "partial 16S ribosomal RNA". It matches the Rfam family "Bacterial small subunit ribosomal RNA", at positions 338 to 795 of the family's 1533-position model. The record is from RNAcentral.